This 440-nucleotide ribosomal RNA is filed under the name uncultured bacterium. RNAcentral's name for it is "bacterial SSU rRNA". It matches the Rfam family "Bacterial small subunit ribosomal RNA", at positions 57 to 510 of the family's 1533-position model. The record is from RNAcentral.
GCAGUCGAACGGUAACAGGAAAUAGCUUGCUAUUUUGCUGACGAGUGGCGCACGGGUGAGUAAACUAUAGUUAAUGUACCCCAAAGACUGGGAUAGCCACUGGAAACGGUGAUUAAUACUAGAUACACCUUCUUAUCACAAGGUAAGAAGGGAAAUGUCUUUUCGCUUUGGGAUCAGACUAUAUCCUAUCAGCUAGUUGGUGAGGUAAUGGCUCACCAAGGCAAUGACGGGUAGCGGUUCUGAGAGGAUGAUCCGCCACACUGGUACUGAGACACGGACCAGACUCCUACGGGAGGCAGCAGUGAGGAAUAUUGCACAAUGGGGGGAACCCUGAUGCAGCAACGCCGCGUGGAGGAUGACGCAUUUCGGUGUGUAAACUCCUUUUAUAUGUCAAGAAAAUGACGGUAGCAUAUGAAUAAGCACCGGCUAACUCCGUGCCA